GGGCAUCGUGGCGUCGGCAUGCAGUCGAGCGGGGAGGGUAGCUUGCUACCUGACCUAGCGGCGGACGGGUGAGUAAUGCUUAGGAAUCUGCCUAUUAGUGGGGGACAACAUUCCGAAAGGAAUGCUAAUACCGCAUACGCCCUACGGGGGAAAGCAGGGGAUCUUCGGACCUUGCGCUAAUAGAUGAGCCUAAGUCAGAUUAGCUAGUUGGUGGGGUAAAGGCCUACCAAGGCGACGAUCUGUAGCGGGUCUGAGAGGAUGAUCCGCCACACUGGGACUGAGACACGGCCCAGACUCCUACGGGAGGCAGCAGUGGGGAAUAUUGGACAAUGGGCGAAAGCCUGAUCCAGCCAUGCCGCGUGUGUGAAGAAGGCCUUUUGGUUGUAAAGCACUUUAAGCGAGGAGGAGGCUACCGAGAUUAAUACUCUUGGAUAGUGGACGUUACUCGCAGAAUAAGCACCGGCUAACUCUGUGCCAGCAGCCGCGGUAAUACAGAGGGUGCGAGCGUUAAUCGGAUUUACUGGGCGUAAAGCGUGCGUAGGCGGCUUUUUAAGUCGGAUGUGAAAUCCCUGAGCUUAACUUAGGAAUUGCAUUCGAUACUGGGAAGCUAGAGUAUGGGAGAGGAUGGUAGAAUUCCAGGUGUAGCGGUGAAAUGCGUAGAGAUCUGGAGGAAUACCGAUGGCGAAGGCAGCCAUCUGGCCUAAUACUGACGCUGAGGUACGAAAGCAUGGGGAGCAAACAGGAUUAGAUACCCUGGUAGUCCAUGCCGUAAACGAUGUCUACUAGCCGUUGGGGCCUUU
Molecule: ribosomal RNA, 800 nt
Filed under: Acinetobacter sp. JSM 2215116
Lineage: Bacteria; Pseudomonadati; Pseudomonadota; Gammaproteobacteria; Moraxellales; Moraxellaceae
Description: bacterial SSU rRNA
Rfam family: Bacterial small subunit ribosomal RNA
Source: RNAcentral